Molecule: ribosomal RNA, 459 nt
Filed under: uncultured bacterium
Lineage: Bacteria
Description: partial 16S ribosomal RNA
Rfam family: Bacterial small subunit ribosomal RNA
Source: RNAcentral
CUACGGGGUGCUGCAGUGAGGAAUAUUGGUCAAUGGGCGCGAGCCUGAACCAGCCAUCCCGCGUGCAGGAUGACGGCCCUAUGGGUUGUAAACUGCUUUUCUAUGCCAAGAAACCCUGUUACGAGUAACAGGUUGCCGGUAGCAUAGGAAUAAGCAUCGGCUAACUCCGUGCCAGCAGCCGCGGUAAUAGGGAGGAUGCAAGCGUUAUCCGGAUUCAUUGGGUUUAAAGGGUGCGCAGGUGGGCUUGUAAGUCAGUGGUGAAAUGCUGCCGCUUAACGGUAGAACUGCCAUUGAUACUGCGAGUCUUGAGUAUGGUUGAGGUAGGCGGAAUGUGUUGUGUAGCGGUGAAAUGCAUAGAUAUGACACAGAACGCCAAUUGCGAAGGCAGCUUACUAAGCCAUUACUGACGCUGAGGCACGAAAGCGUGGGGAGCGAACAGGAUUAGAUACCCGCGUAGUC